GGGAAAUCGAUGGAUCGACCUCUCUCCUUAACUUGUUCUUAAUUCUCAUGUACAAUCAAAGAAACACACACGCACACACACAUGCGUGCACUGCAUCUCUCUGAGCAACGAACUCGAUUGAUUUGAUUUUGAUUCGCUAGGGAUUAAAGAGAAGCUGAGAUAGAGAUUUCGACGAUCAUGCGACGCUGAAGGAGCUGGCUGCGCUCUCGACGAACUUCCUGGCGCCCUUGAACCACCUCUUGUCGCCGGCCUGCGCCUUGCAGAUGUACAGCUUGCCGUCGUUGACGGUGGCCGUGAUCAGCUGGUGCUUGCCGCCCUCGUCGCCGUCCGCCGUCCUCGUCAGCACCGUUACGCUGUAGUACUGCUUCCCUCCCACCACCGGCGCCGAGCUCUCCAGGAUGUUCGCCGUCGCCACCGCGUCCGACUCAAACCCACCCUCGGAAUCUGUCUUGCCGGAGUAGGCCUGCUUGCCAAGCAAGAAGUCGACCUGGGCGAGGAACUCCUCGGGGGAGCCGAACUCGGUGAUGGUCUUCUUGGUGGUGGGGUUGAUUAUGACGGAGACGUUGCUGUUGGCGUCGAAGUUGUCCUCGUAGCGGAGGACCUGUCCGGGGAACUCGCGCUCCUUGCUGGGGUUCCACUUGGACGGGAUCAGCAGCUUGAACCCCUCGCCGCUGUAGGCGAUGAACUCCGUGUUCGUCUUGGGCUUCCCGAACACGUUCGCCGCCUCGCCGUAGGCCGCGGCGGCGGGCGCCACCUUCACCCCCACCGCCGCCGUCGCUCCGGCCAGCAGCGCGAGCGCCGCGCGGCGGGAGACGUCGGCGUCGUCCUGCUUCUGGGCGCGGCAGACGAGGAGGUGGGUCCGUGUCGCCGGGGACGGGGAGGCGACGCGCGCGGCGACGCGGGCCGUGGACUGGUGGAGGAAGCAGGAGGUGGACGCCAUUGCCGGCCGGUGGGCUGGUGCCUCGCCGCUGAUUGCCUGCCUGAGAGUGGAGCGGGGUGUAGUGUGGUGGAG
This 1012-nucleotide unclassified non-coding RNA is filed under the name Hevea brasiliensis (rubber tree). The record is from RNAcentral. Lineage: Eukaryota; Viridiplantae; Streptophyta; Magnoliopsida; Malpighiales; Euphorbiaceae.